Molecule: long non-coding RNA, 265 nt
Filed under: Capsicum annuum
Lineage: Eukaryota; Viridiplantae; Streptophyta; Magnoliopsida; Solanales; Solanaceae
Description: long non-coding RNA (CANN_LNC011963)
Source: RNAcentral
UUUUCUCUAGCCUCACUUAUCUCUAUACCAUAACCAUGGCUACCGUUGUCGGCUAGCCACCAUGGGUUAUAGAAAAAUUUGGCCUCCUUUCUCCCACUCUCUUCCGUCUCUCACUCUCAUCGAUGACUCACCGAAAUUAAUGACCAACAAGUCCGAGGCAGCAUCAAUAGCGUCAACCGCCAUUAAUGGCUGGCGAACAAACCAGCCACCGUGUCUCCCUCCCCUCUUCAUCAUCAGCCACCGGGAAAACCAAGGGAAAACUGCU